AGAGUUUGAUCCUGGCUCAGAUUGAACGCUGGCGGCAGGCCUAACACAUGCAAGUCGAGCGGCAGCGGGAAAGUAGCUUGCUACUUUUGCCGGCGAGCGGCGGACGGGUGAGUAAUGCCUGGGAAAUUGCCCAGUCGAGGGGGAUAACAGUUGGAAACGACUGCUAAUACCGCAUACGCCCUACGGGGGAAAGCAGGGGACCUUCGGGCCUUGCGCAAUUGGAUAUGCCCAGGUGGGAUUAGCUAGUUGGUGAGGUAAUGGCUCACCAAGGCGACGAUCCCUAGCUGGUCUGAGAGGAUGAUCAGCCACACUGGAACUGAGACACGGUCCAGACUCCUACGGGAGGCAGCAGUGGGGAAUAUUGCACAAUGGGGGAAACCCUGAUGCAGCCAUGCCGCGUGUGUGAAGAAGGCCUUCGGGUUGUAAAGCACUUUCAGCGAGGAGGAAAGGUUGAUGCCUAAUACGUAUCAACUGUGACGUUACUCGCAGAAGAAGCACCGGCUAACUCCGUGCCAGCAGCCGCGGCAAUACGGAGGGUGCAAGCGUUAAUCGGAAUUACUGGGCGUAAAGCGCACGCAGGCGGUUGGAUAAGUUAGAUGUGAAAGCCCCGGGCUCAACCUGGGAAUUGCAUUUAAAACUGUCCAGCUAGAGUCUUGUAGAGGGGGGUAGAAUUCCAGGUGUAGCGGUGAAAUGCGUAGAGAUCUGGAGGAAUACCGGUGGCGAAGGCGGCCCCCUGGACAAAGACUGACGCUC
RNAcentral lists this ribosomal RNA (753 nucleotides) under uncultured bacterium. RNAcentral's name for it is "bacterial SSU rRNA". It matches the Rfam family "Bacterial small subunit ribosomal RNA", at positions 8 to 748 of the family's 1533-position model. The record is from RNAcentral.